GACGGGGGAUGCAAGCGUUAUCCGGAAUCACUGGGCGUAAAGCGUCUGUAGGUGGUGAUGCAAGUCAGUGGUGCAAAACUGUGGCUCAACCGGAGGAAAGCAAGUGAAACUGCAUGACUAGAGUGUGGGAGAGGUAGAAGGAAUUCCCUGAGUAGCGGUGAAAUGCGUAGAUACAGGGAAGAACACCGGAGGCGAAAGCGUUCUGCUGGAACACAACUGACACUGAGAGACGAAAGCUAGGGGAGCGAAUGGG
RNAcentral lists this ribosomal RNA (253 nucleotides) under uncultured bacterium. RNAcentral's name for it is "partial 16S ribosomal RNA". It matches the Rfam family "Bacterial small subunit ribosomal RNA", at positions 524 to 776 of the family's 1533-position model. The record is from RNAcentral.